GGGCACUUGGUGUAGAUGGUUAUCACGCUCGCUUAGCACUAGAAAUCUGCGAGAGGGGACCGGUUCAAUUCCGGUAGUGUCCA
This 83-nucleotide transfer RNA is filed under the name Gloeophyllum trabeum ATCC 11539. RNAcentral describes it as "tRNA-Ala". It matches the Rfam family "tRNA". Rfam says of the family: Transfer RNA (tRNA) molecules are approximately 80 nucleotides in length. Their secondary structure includes four short double-helical elements and three loops (D, anti-codon, and T loops). The record is from RNAcentral. Lineage: Eukaryota; Fungi; Basidiomycota; Agaricomycetes; Gloeophyllales; Gloeophyllaceae.